CGCGUAGGCGGUCUGCCAAGUCAGGGGUGAAAGCCUCCAGCUUAACUGGAGAAGUGCCUUUGAUACUGGCGGACUCGAGUGAGGUAGGGGUAGCGGGAACUUCCGGUGGAGCGGUGAAAUGCGUUGAUAUCGGAAGGAACGCCGGUGGCGAAAGCGCACUACUGGACCUCUUCUGACGCUGAGGCGCGAAAGCCAGGGGAGCAAACGGGAUUAGAUACCCCGGUAGUCCUGGCCCUAAACGAUGAGUACUAGGUAGUGGACUAACAUGGGUUCACUGCCGAAGCAAAAGUGUUAAGUACUCCGCCUGGGGAGUAUGGUCGCAAGGCUGAA
Molecule: ribosomal RNA, 330 nt
Filed under: uncultured bacterium
Lineage: Bacteria
Description: bacterial SSU rRNA
Rfam family: Bacterial small subunit ribosomal RNA
Source: RNAcentral